AGAGUUUGAUUAUGGCUCAGGAUGAACGCUGGCGGCGUGCCUAACACAUGCAAGUCGAGCGGAGAUAAGUUGAAGCCUAGCGAUUCUUAUCUUAGCGGCGGAUGGGUGAGUAACACGUGGGUAACCUGCCCUGUACUGGGGGAAUAACAGUUGGAAACGACUGUUAAUGCCGCAUCUGCGCACGAAGCCGCAUGGCUUAGGGCGGAAAGAUUUAUCGGUACAGGAUGGGCCCGCGUCGGAUUAACUAGUUGGCGGGGUAACGGCCCACCAAGGUGAUGAUCCGUAGCCGACCUGAGAGGGUGACCGGCCACAUUGGGACUGAGACACGGCCCAAACUCCUACGGGAGGCAGCAGUGGGGGAUAUUGCACAAUGGGGGAAACCCUGAUGCAGCGACGCCGCGUGAAGGAAGAAGUAUUUCGGUAUGUAAACUUCUAUCAGCGGGGAAGAAGAUGACGGUACCCGACUAAGAAGCCCCGGCUAACUACGUGCCAGCCGCCGC
Molecule: ribosomal RNA, 500 nt
Filed under: uncultured bacterium
Lineage: Bacteria
Description: bacterial SSU rRNA
Rfam family: Bacterial small subunit ribosomal RNA
Source: RNAcentral